RNAcentral lists this ribosomal RNA (468 nucleotides) under uncultured bacterium. Its description in RNAcentral is "partial 16S ribosomal RNA". It matches the Rfam family "Bacterial small subunit ribosomal RNA", at positions 28 to 507 of the family's 1533-position model. The record is from RNAcentral.
GACGAACGCUGGCGGCGUGCUUAACACAUGCAAGUCGAACGGAAAGGCCCUGCUUUUGUGGGGUGCUCGAGUGGCGAACGGGUGAGUAACACGUGAGUAACCUGCCCUUGACUUUGGGAUAACUUCAGGAAACUGGGGCUAAUACCGGAUAGGAGCUCCUGCUGCAUGGUGGGGGUUGGAAAGUUUCGGCGGUUGGGGAUGGACUCGCGGCUUAUCCGCUUGUUGGUGGGGUAGUGGCUUACCAAGGCUUUGACGGGUAGCCGGCCUGAGAGGGUGACCGGCCACAUUGGGACUGAGAUACGGCCCAGACUCCUACGGGAGGCAGCAGAGGGGUAUAUUGCACAAUGGGCGGAAGCCUGAUGCAGCAACGCCGCGUGCGGGAUGACGGCCUUCGGGUUGUAAACCGCUUUCGCCUGUGACGAAGCGUGAGUGACGGUAAUGGGUAAAGAAGCUCCGGCUAACUACGUG